UACGUAGGGUGCAAGCGUUAAUCGGAAUUACUGGGCGUAAAGCGUGCGCAGGCGGUUUUGUAAGCCAGAUGUGAAAGCCCCGGGCUCAACCUGGGAAUUGCAUUUGAAACUGGAAAACUAGAGUGUGUGAGAGGGGGGUAGAAUUCCAAGUGUAGCGGUGAAAUGCGUAGAGAUUUGGAGGAAUACCAGUGGCGAAGGCGGCCCCCUCGGCACAACACUGACGCUCAGGUGCGAAAGCGUGGGGAGCAAAC
RNAcentral lists this ribosomal RNA (251 nucleotides) under uncultured bacterium. Its description in RNAcentral is "partial 16S ribosomal RNA". It matches the Rfam family "Bacterial small subunit ribosomal RNA", at positions 524 to 773 of the family's 1533-position model. The record is from RNAcentral.